This 717-nucleotide unclassified non-coding RNA is filed under the name Hevea brasiliensis (rubber tree). Lineage: Eukaryota; Viridiplantae; Streptophyta; Magnoliopsida; Malpighiales; Euphorbiaceae. The record is from RNAcentral.
AGUAGGCAAUUAUCCGGAAUCCCAGAGCCAUGGCUAGUAGCACCCAGACUUCUUGCAAGCCACCUUUCAAGUUCACUGUGUCGAAUGACGGUGAGCUCUGCAGAGGCCGGCACCCUCCUUUGCUUCCACAUUCAUAUAACUGAUCUCCAUCAUAUUGCACUUUCAACAGAAGCCUGAACCCGUAGUACAUGAAAGAUAAGUACUUCAACCACUGCAUAAAUUUUGGUAUGUGCUGGACAUAGUAACCUCCAGUGAGAAGAAAUAGCAUUAAAAUCAAAGAAGCAAACAUCCCAGCCCUUUUGAUGCUCAAACUUGCAGCUCCAAAUAGCUCUCCUGCCCCUUGGCUUGUGAUUGCUAUCAAUAGUAUGGUAAACAAUGUUAAGAAGAAGCAAGGGACUGUCCUCUUAAACCCUGCCAUGAAGUACACUAUGACCAUGAAAAAGGUAGGAUAGAACACAUGAGCCAUCAUGUCACACAGAGUGCUGCAUACAUAGUACACACUUAGUCUGUACAUGUCUGCUUUCCUUUCUUUCACCAAAUAGAUCUUCUCGAACGGAAACACGUAUACUGCUCCAAAAAUCGAUGAGGAUGUCCAGAAAAUGCAGAUGUAGAACAUUAAACCAACUUGAUCUCUGAGUUGUGCCUCGGUUCCAGUUUUGGAUUUCCACCAAAGAAGGCCUAAUAAGACUGCAACACCAAGAGCUUGAACUAGUCUUA